RNAcentral lists this ribosomal RNA (414 nucleotides) under uncultured bacterium. RNAcentral describes it as "bacterial SSU rRNA". It matches the Rfam family "Bacterial small subunit ribosomal RNA", at positions 355 to 783 of the family's 1533-position model. The record is from RNAcentral.
UGGGGAAUAUUGGGCAAUGGGGGGCAACCCUGACCCAGCAACGCCGCGUGAGGGAAGAAGGUUUUCGGAUUGUAAACCUCUGUCCUUGGGGACGAAGAAGUGACGGUACCCAAGGAGGAAGCUCCGGCUAACUACGUGCCAGCAGCCGCGGUAAUACGUAGGGAGCGAGCGUUGUCCGGAAUUACUGGGCGUAAAGGGUGCGUAGGCGGUUUGGUAAGUCAGAUGUGAAAUACCCGGGCUUAACCCGGGGGCUGCAUCUGAUACUGUCAGACUUGAGUGCAGGAGAGGAAAGCGGAAUUCCUAGUGUAGCGGUGAAAUGCGUAGAUAUUAGGAGGAACACCAGUGGCGAAGGCGGCUUUCUGGACUGUAACUGACGCUGAGGCACGAAAGCGUGGGGAGCAAACAGGAUUAGAU